Molecule: long non-coding RNA, 277 nt
Filed under: Brassica rapa (field mustard)
Lineage: Eukaryota; Viridiplantae; Streptophyta; Magnoliopsida; Brassicales; Brassicaceae
Description: long non-coding RNA (BRAP_LNC003290)
Source: RNAcentral
GGGACCCUAAGCAAGAAGCAUUAAGUUCAUUCAUUUCUAAUAAGGUUGUAGUUGGCUUCAAAGACUGAGUUUCAGCAAUCAACAAGUUUCAGGAAGAGUUUUCAAGGCUCGAAACAUACAAGUCUUUUUGAGAGGUGCAAAAGCUACUCAGGUGCAACGUAGUGUUCUUUACAAGGCAUUCAAAAUCAUUGCUCCCAAUGCAAGUGAAUGCAACCUAUAUGCUCUAGACUCUCCUAAAAAUGCAAAUGAUGCAAACUAAAUGAUUGGUUUUUUUUUU